This 7355-nucleotide long non-coding RNA is filed under the name Heterocephalus glaber (naked mole-rat). RNAcentral describes it as "lncRNA (ENSHGLG00100036710.1)". The record is from RNAcentral. Lineage: Eukaryota; Metazoa; Chordata; Mammalia; Rodentia; Bathyergidae.
GGGGCGGUGUCCGCCUCCACCUGGACCCGGAGGAGCCUCAGGUGAGACCCGAAGGUCCCCGGACAAAGAGGUGAUUUGGACCGCACCUCUAAAGCCUGGGAAAGAGUGAAGACAGUGCGUGACAGGCUUUUGAUCCCCGCCUCGCCUGCCCCCAAGUCACUGAAUGGCCGAAAGCACCCCGAAAAGAGUGUGGGUGGGAAAUGACUCCUGUCCAGCUGGGACUGCUAGGGCUGAAUGAAUAACGAAGGUGACAACUGGCGGUUUAAUAUGCUUGGCGGUGAAGGUGGAGAAUGCUGCGGGAUCUGAACCCCAGAUUUGCUACUUAGCCAGAGCGGAGUGCCCUAAAUGCUGAUGUUGGAGAGCCCAAGCAGGGCUGGUCCUGGGAGGUAGAUGCUUCUCGGGACAUCUGGGUCCCAUUCCACUGGAGGAGUCAAGUUCCUGCCAUGCUGCCCAGUCCUCUUUGCUCCGAGUUACAGAGCAGGCAUAACAGUUUCAGAAAGCAAACUCUAAAGUCUAGUUGACGCAUAGGGAAAUGACUUGGCAGGCAGCCACAAGACAGAGCUUCCAGCCCUGCCACUGCCAUGCUGUCUGACAGCUGAGAAACUCCUGUUUCAUCCAGCUCUGCAAAUUUAUUUGAUUUCGAAGUUCACAUUUAUUGAAGGAGGAAGCCCUUGGAACAGGAUAUAAAAGCAACACUUUCCACUGAGCCUGACAUCCUGCUUCCAGAUGCAAGUGGCUGAGCAAGCCCUGGAGGAACCUCUAAGCAGCUGCGACCAUGCUGCUCCAACUUCAAAACCUGAAUUCAACAAUUUCCACACUCAGCCCUCGCUCACCUCUCUGCUUCCUUGUCCAGACCCUCAAAACGAUCUGAAUAAUUUAUUACACUUUUAUCAGUCUUCUCCACUAACAGCUGGCACUUUGGAAGGCAAGGACCUUGCCUUAUUAGUCCUUGUGAUCUGGUAUCUGCUCCUAGGAAGAACUCAACCUAUGUUGGGUGGGAUGAAUUUUUGAAGAAGUUAUUGAGUUGUCAGGUCCAUGAUGGAGCAAAAUGACACAAAUGACCAUCCUCAGCUGGAGGCUUGCUGGUCACCCAUCCAGGAGGAUGCUUUGCACAGCUUCUAAGACUGCAGAGAGUCCCCAUGAACAAGAAGGCCCUCACCAGGUGCAGCUCUCUGACCUCGGACUUCCCAGCCUCUGGAACUGAUAUAUGGUAGCUACAUAUCCCAGAAUGGACAAGAUGGAAUCAUGGAGGAUCAAAGGACAUGAAUGGUCACAUGUCAAAUCCCAUGACACAGCACAACCUCAGUCUCAAGUUGAGUAAUAGCCUGUUUGGAUAAACUGGUCAGUGAGACUCCUCAUGUAUCUGGCUUAAAAAAUACAUUUCCAGCACUUAUGAGCCUGACGCAGAAGAACCACAAGUUCACAUCAGCCUAGCUUACAUGGUGAGUUCCAGGCCAGCCUGGACAAUAUACAGAACAAACCCUGUCUCAAAAAAAAAUUUUUUUUUUUCCUUCACGCAGUAGCAUUGUCUCCAAGUCCCCAUGUCUCAAUGUUUCUGUGUGGCACCAGUUGAGCCUGAGCCCAGAAAAGCUUUACCACAUUUACAGGCAAAAAGUGCCAUAAUGAAGUUGAAGGAGGCAUUGAGCUAAGGGGCACUGCAGGCUGCAGCAUUUAUCACAUGCAUAUCGUGGCGGGGAAGCAAAGACAAAAGACACAGUCACGACAAAAAGUGAGUCUGAUGGGUGGAGAGCCAAGACCCACGUCCAGAACAACAAACCAACACAGGGACAAGGGCUCGCCACAGGCUUUCAGGGCAAGUUGAACUCUAAUCCCAAACUAUAUGCCCUGGACAUUUUACCAAAGUCUUCUUUGUCUUAAUUUCCUUAUAAAGCUGUCACUUGGUAUCCUUGGAGGAUUGGUUCUGGGACCCCCCUGAGGAUACCAAAAUCUUCCAAUGUUCAAGUCCCUUACAUAAAAUGCCACAGUCCUUGCAUAUAACCUAUACAAUUCUCUCCUAUACUUUAAAUCAUCUCAUAUUACUUUCAAUAUGUAAUAUGAUGUAAAUAGUUGUUAUACUGCAUUAUUUAGGGAGUCAUUACAAAAGUCCAUAUAUGUUCAGUUGCUGAUGCAAUUUUUCUCCUGAAUAUUUUUGAGAUGCAUUUGCUUGGAUCUGUGGAUUUGUAACCUGAGGAUACUGAGGGCAGACUGCAUAUAAUAGUCCAUCCUUAUUGGUGGUUUCAGUAACGUGAGGUCAACCACUAUCGGAAAAUAUUAAAUGGAAAUUGCCAAAGUAAACAAUUCAUAAGCCAGAUACAGUGCUGCAUGCCUGUAAUCCCAGCUAUGCAUAAGUCUGAGGCAGGAGAAUGGCAAGUUUGAGGAGAAUCUUGACAAUUUAGCAAGGCUGCUUCAAAAUAAAAAAUAAAAAGAGCUAGAGAUGUGGCUCACUGUGGGGCCUUGGGUUAAAAGCCCAGUACUGCAAAACAGCAAAAAUUAAUAAGGUUUUUUUGUUUUUGACAUGGUCUUGCUAGCCGUUUGGGCUGGCCUCAAACUUUUGAUCCUCCUGCCUCAGGCUUUCAGGUAGCUGGGAUUAUAGGAAUGUGCCAAUAUACUUGGCCAAUUCAUAGGCUUUAAAUGAUUUUGAUUACAGUACAUUAUUAUAAUUGUUCUAUUUUAUUAUUAGAUUUUUCUUCAGUGUGGGGGAUGGAACCUAGGCUCUUGCAGUGUUAGACAUGUACUCUACCACAGAGCUACAUCUCCAGCCCCUUAUUAGCUGUUGUUAUUGACUUGUCAUUGUGCCCAACCAAACUCUAUUAUAUGUAUGUAUGUAUGUGUGUGUGUAGAGAAAAAACACAUGGUAUAAAGGGGUUCAGAACUGGCCAUGGUUUCAGGUCUCCUUGAAAUAUCUUGGAAUAUACCUUGAUUUACUACUAUAAAUGAAAUGGAGUGGUAAUCAUCACAGUACCCAUUUCGUAGGCCAUCAUGAGGACAGCAUGCAAUAACGUAUAUGAAGCACUUUGGACAGUUUUGCCACAUUGUCAGUGUUCAUUGCUGCACUGACUAUAUUGUUAAAUGAAAUAGUACUUAUAAAAUGCCACACAGAAAUGGAUGUGGCGGUAUAUACUUAUAAUUCAAAAUUCCAGGACUCAGGAGGCUGAAGCAGAAGGAAUGCAAGUUCAAGGCCAACCUGGCCAAUUUAGUGAGAACUUGGUCCUCCCAAAACAAAACAAAACAAAAAAGUCCUGAGCAAUGCCUAGCACUAUCAAACGUUCAGUAUUGUUAACUGGCAGUACUGUUAUUACUUUUAUUAUUUAAAUUCUGAAUCUAUUGUUGCAUAACAAAUAACUUCAACACUUAGCAUUUAAUACAAUAAUAAACAUUUAUUAUCUCACAUAGAUCCUAUGGAUCAAGAAUUUGGGAAAAACUUCCAGCUUCAUGGUUCUAGCCCAGGAUCUCUCAUGAGAUUACAAACUAUUGCCUGAAGCCUGCCUAGAGCUUGACUAGGCUCUGCCUCUGAGGUGGCUUGCUCACAUGGCUGCCACCUCUUUGCUAGCUAUCGGCCCAAGGCCUCAAUUCUUCACCACAUAGUCCCUGCAGAGGACUGCUUGAGUAUCCUUACAACAUGGCAGCUGACUUCUUCCAAGGCAAGUGGUCUAAGAGAGCAAGGCAGAAGCCACAAUGUCUCUUAAGAGCUACACCCAGAAGUCACAUUGCAUAUCACAGUAUCCUUCCUGGCUACACAAGUCUGUGCUGUCUUUGGGGGAGGAGCUACCGAAGCGCAUGAAUACCAGGCUGAGAGUCUAACUGGGUGCCAUUUUGCAGGCUGGCUACCGGAAGUACUAAAUUAUGUGACAGAGACAUGAGUUCUACAGGAACUCAGGUUCAGAUAAGAGGGAGACUAAUGAAGGUCAGAGUGCUAGGGAAUGUUCUGAUCACUCUUAGGUAGAUUUGAAUGAUAGCCUUUACCAUUUCUUUCUCAUCUUCCCUCAGUACGACUUGGAAAGAGAGGAAAGUAGGACUUUCACAAUCAGAAGGGUGAGAGGAAGCAAGAAAGCACAAGGAGACCUUUACAGAGGUGACAGGGCCUAUGUGGGGGUUGGUAGAGUACACUGACACUGGAAGGAAACAAAGUUUAUAAAUAAAUUGAAAGAUGCAGUGAGGCUGCUCAAGGAGGGCCGGGAAAGCCAAGUAAACAUGCUUAAACUAGCCAAAGUAAAAAGUAAAUGUUAAGGGCAUAGGCUUUGGCUAAAAGCAUGUUCAAAAUUCCUGCAGUCUUAUUUAAUAUGGGGGGAUUCAAGACUGGGUAGUGGAUUUAGAGAGUGUAAAAGAAAUUCUCCUCAAAGGGACAUUUGCUUCCACAGGAGCACAUCCUGGUGGGGUCAAGGCAAUACCAGGAAACGUACUUUAAUAGUUUCCUUAUAUCAGAGUAGGAAGCUCAAGUUGAUAAGAAGUUGGAAUCCAGCCUCCCAGUUGGAGGAGCCUCCCCAGGGGAAACCGUUGGAGUGGGAGAUAGUCUGUGUUUACACAGCAUGCCUUCUAUGUCUGCAGUUUACACAAACUGUAUCUUCUGGCCAGGCUGAAGAUAGAACCGCCUGACCUAGAAAAGCCCCAGUCUGGGCUCAGUGCCCAGCUAGCGCCGGGAGGAGCUCCCGCCCAGACCCACCCAGAUCCAAGCUCCUUGGACACACGGGGGUGGAGGCCACCCUGCACAAUGCAGACCUCACACGGAGGAUCCCACUCUGCAGCCAGGCAGAGCCUAGUCGAGGCUUGAGUAUCCUCCUCACGUCCUGCAGGGGGAACUACCUGUUCCGGUUCGUCUAGUUCAGAGCUGAGAGUGACACUUUCACUGGUAGACCACUUGCCCGGCACGUUCGAGGCCAAGCUAAAUCCUUGGGUUUGACCCUAGCACUUCAAAUUUUUACUAAAUAUUCUACUUCACUCUUAUUAGCAGGAGGGCAUACAUCACACCGCUAGCAUGACUUUGGCUCAUUCCUCAAAGCAACGAUAAAACCUAACGUUUGCAGGUUAGUGUGGGUUCACUAAGUGGUCCCAAAAGGACCCUUGGCGGUUUGCAGAUCGUGCUGCUGAAGAAGGUGGCAGGAGUCAGGCAUUUAUGGGUUUAAAUCAGCACUGUCCCUCGAGAGGGAGACCUUGGACACAUACGUUUUUACUGCUCAAAGCUUCAGUUUCCCUAUCUGGGAAAUGGGGAGAAGGCAACAGCCGAGAGGCUCUUUGACGGUGCCCAGCAAGUGCUCAAUAGACAACCACCCUCCUCACCCCAUUAUUCCAUUAUAUCCCAGGCCCCCUUGUCUUCACCUCAUGUUGUUACCCAGCCCCAGAUUUCCCUUAUUUUUUGUCCUCUUAAAAAUCCCCAGCCCCUGGCUGGCUGAGAGGUUUUGGCCUUGGGCAGCUGUACCUGCCUCCAACAUGGCACACAGCAUUUUGCUCAGUAGUAGCUGGUCAGUGCACCCACUGGGCACUCCCCUUAAUCUCUUUCCCCUGCUACUACCAGCACCUUGCCCAGUGCAAGCACACCUGUCUCCUCCUGCAGGGCAGCACUGGUCUUACUGGAGAAGGCACCAUCCGAGGUCAGUCCCCAGCUGUGCCUGUGGAGUCCCUGGGACACUUGGUGGACAAAGAGAUGGGAUCUCAGAGGCCUGGGGCAGGGAGGAGGAGAGAGGCCAAGGAGGAGAGAGCAGAGCCUCCCUCCUAGUCACAGCAAAGCCAGAAUUCACCUGGGAAGGAAUGCUUUCCCCAGGGAAGAAGUUAGGGGUAAGGAAAAGCUAGCCAGGCAUCUGAGGGCUUCCCUCCUAGCCCUUCCCACGACUUCUCAGAAUGGAGUCGCUUAAUGUGGCUCCAGCCCAGACUCAGGAUCUGAAAGAGUUCCCUGGAACUAAGGAGUGUCCUUCACAAACUCACACUAGGACAAAGUCCCUGAUUACCCUUGAGAUUCAAAGGGUUGGGCUAGAGUUAUAAAUUACACCUUUGUUUAGAAAAAAAAUUCAGACUCCAGGGCCUGAGUUCAGCGUUUUAAACAGCUUAGUGUUGAUCACCUCCCAGGCACACAGCCCUAGAGGCCACCUCGGCCUGUUCUCUAUCCUCUCUGAAGGAACCUGACUGGCUGCUAAAUCCUCCGGGGUUUGGCUUUGUGAAGUCUUCACAUUUGCUGUCACACCAGCCAGCCACUCUUGGCACACCUGUGUCACCAUAACUGCUGUGUCUGUUCCCUCGGGCUGGUGUCUCUCUUCUCUCAGUCCUCAUAGACACCGGUACCAGAGGAUUCCCCCUAAAACAGUGCACUAUGACCCAAUCCCUGCUCCAAAAAUACCUCAAUAUUAGCAACAGAGUAAAAUCCCAACAUGCUAAUCUGGUAUCCAAAUUCUUCCCAAUCUGAUUACACCCUACCCCUUCAGCCUCUCCUAUGGUCAUACCUUGGUCUUUUUCAGCUUCAGGACCUCUUAAACCCUGUACGUGCUGCAUUCUGAUGAGAAAAAAAAUGCUUCAGCACUGUAGCAAACCCCCCACUUACUCAUUACUGUCUUGUACUUGCGCAUUUUAAGAGCUAAUCAUGGGACACAAAAAAGUUGAGAGCAAUACCACUAAGCCCAAAAGGCUUAUAUUAGUCCAAUAAAAGGCCAUUAGCCCAGUAAAAUGUGAAAGCUCUGGAGAACUUUCACAAAUUAUUUCUAAUUACAUUAUUUCUUAUGGGAAAAAUUUGUUCAGUACUCAGUUUCAGCACUCUUCACUGGUUCCAGAACAAAUGAACAAGUACCGAGGCAUGACUUUGUCGUUGGUUCUGAGCAAACUGGCUUCCAUGUUCUUGGGCACAUGCUGGCUCUCGGGCUGCUCCAUCUGCCUGGAAAGCCAUGCCUCUGUCCACUUGCUGGAGGCUCCUGGCCACUUCCCAUGGAUCAGCCCAUUCUGUGGAAAUGGCCACAAGCUCCGGGCAACUAUUGCAUGUGUCAAACAUGGCCACUGUCACUGAGGAACUGAAUUUUGUAUUUUGUUAUCCAUUUUAAUUUGAAGACUAAUACUCAACUCAGUUACUAGAAAAUGUUUAAGUACAUUUGGAACAAUUUGGUUUUGUAAAUCUACUUUUUCAACUGUAAAUUGUUUGUAUGUGUGCCUGUGUAUGGCACUGAGGAUUGAAUCCAGGUCCUCAUGAAUGCUAAGCAAGUGUUCUACCAUUGCGCUACAUCUGCAGCCCUUUUUAUUUUGAGACAUAGUCUCAUGAAGUUGCCCAGGCUGGACCUUGUGAUCCUCUUGCCUCAGCCUCCAAGUAGCUGUAAUUACAGGUGUACUGCUUUGACUAAGUUCUAGGAAAUCUAAGUACAGUUUAAGUAUUUCUGAUAAAAAGC